Molecule: ribosomal RNA, 532 nt
Filed under: uncultured bacterium
Lineage: Bacteria
Description: bacterial SSU rRNA
Rfam family: Bacterial small subunit ribosomal RNA
Source: RNAcentral
AAUAGAUACCCUGGUAGUCCUAGCUGUAAACGAUGAGCACUGGGUUGAGGGGACUUCCACAUCCUCUCGGCCGUAGCGAAAGCGUUAAGUGCUCCGCCUGGGGAGUAUGGCCGCAAGGCUGAAACUCAAAGGAAUUGACGGGGGCUCACACAAGCGGUGGAGGAUGUGGCUUAAUUCGAGGCUACGCGAAGAACCUUAUCCUAGGCUUGACAUGGUUGAGAAUCUCCUUGAAAGAGGAGAGUGCCCUUCGGGGAGCUCUUUCACAGGUGCUGCAUGGCUGUCGUCAGCUCGUGUCGUGAGAUGUUGGGUUAAGUCCCUUAACGAGCGAAACCCUUAUCUUUAGUUGCCAGCGGGUAAUGCCGGGGACUCUAAAGAGACUGCCGGUGUCAAACCGGAGGAAGGUGGGGAUGACGUCAAGUCCUCAUGGCCUUUAUGUCUAGGGCUGCACACGUCCUACAAUGGUACGUACAAAGGGAAGCCAAGCCGCGAGGCCGCGCUAAUCCCAAAAGCGUGCCCCAGUUCGGAUUGCAGG